RNAcentral lists this long non-coding RNA (276 nucleotides) under Bos taurus (domestic cattle). RNAcentral's name for it is "long non-coding RNA NONBTAT015245". The record is from RNAcentral. Lineage: Eukaryota; Metazoa; Chordata; Mammalia; Artiodactyla; Bovidae.
UUAUAAAAUAUGUUCACAGUAGGAGUAUAAGUUUUAUCCUGAUGUGUAUUUCAAUAGACCUGCAAUAUGUAUUGCCAAAAUACCAUUUUUAGCCAGAAGGGCCAAGUCCUGCAUACUUUGCCAACAACAGCAAUAAAGCUAGAUAGAAGCUAAGCCCAGGAUUGCAUGGUGCAUUGGCUAAUCUCUGAAGCAGCAGCCACAAAGCAUGUAUACCUGAAUAGCCUAUCAUUUUGUCAAAUGUGGACUUUAAGAAGGAUGCUGGUUUCAUUCUUUUUA